This 48-nucleotide non-coding RNA is filed under the name Schistosoma curassoni. The record is from RNAcentral. Lineage: Eukaryota; Metazoa; Platyhelminthes; Trematoda; Strigeidida; Schistosomatidae.
GUCCAGCUGACGAAUCCCAAAUAGGACGAAACGUGCGUCAAACUGGAU